UACGUAGGGAGCAAGCGUUGUCCGGAAUCAUUGGGCGUAAAGCGCGCGUAGGCGGCCCUGUAAGUCCGCUGUGAAAGUCAAAGGCUCAACCUUUGAAAGCCGGUGGAUACUGCAGGGCUAGAGUCCGGAAGAGGCGAGUGGAAUUCCUGGUGUAGCGGUGAAAUGCGCAGAUAUCAGGAGGAACACCGAUGGCGAAGGCAGGUCGCUGGGCUGUAACUGACGCUGAGGAGCGAAAGCAUGGGGAGCGAACAGG
RNAcentral lists this ribosomal RNA (253 nucleotides) under uncultured bacterium. Its description in RNAcentral is "partial 16S ribosomal RNA". It matches the Rfam family "Bacterial small subunit ribosomal RNA", at positions 524 to 776 of the family's 1533-position model. The record is from RNAcentral.